CAAAGUCUUAAAGAUGCAGUCACACUAAGAACCAGUGAAUAUUUGCUUCACCUCUUCUUCACUUAAAUGGGAAAUUACAAAAAGAGUUCAAGAUUUACAGGUGUUUUUCCACCUCAACAAUCUCGCCUGCUGCAACUGACAACAGAAAACGACCAGAUACAGCUGUAAUUGAACUCGCAGCGUUUCUUCUAAACUGGUUAUUUCUUCAGACCUUCCCUCAGAUCCCUGCAAAAUAACUUAUUUCUGCAUCCACCAAUUGAUUUUGAUUGGAAAAACAAAGCCCUGGAGACAGGACUGUUGCUAAACAUGACCAUUCCUUUAUUACAUGUAACCAAACUACUUUAUUCCUUUAAUACUGUACAUGUCAUCAUACUGGCAAGUAA
Seriola dumerili (greater amberjack) is the source of this 383-nucleotide long non-coding RNA. RefSeq lists it as uncharacterized. Lineage: Eukaryota; Metazoa; Chordata; Actinopteri; Carangiformes; Carangidae. The record is from RefSeq and is a predicted model, not a curated record. The transcript has 3 exons.